Molecule: ribosomal RNA, 482 nt
Filed under: uncultured bacterium
Lineage: Bacteria
Description: bacterial SSU rRNA
Rfam family: Bacterial small subunit ribosomal RNA
Source: RNAcentral
AACUAACGCUGGCGGCGUGCCUAACACAUGCAAGUCGUACGAGAAAGCCGGCUUCGGCUGGUGAGUAAAGUGGCGCACGGGUGAGUAACGCGUGGAUAAUCUGCCCUUAAGUGUGGAAUAACGUACCGAAAGGUGCGCUAAUACCGCAUAAUGCCUGGCAACACAAGUUGUCCGGCCAAAGAAGGCCUCUGUUUACAAGGCUUUCGCUUCAGGAUGAGUCCGCGUACCAUUAGCUUGUUGGUGGGGUAAUGGCCUACCAAGGCUGCGAUGGUUAGCUGGUCUGAGAGGAUGAUCAGCCACACUGGAACUGAGACACGGUCCAGACUCCUACGGGAGGCAGCAGUGAGGAUAUUGCGCAAUGGGGGCAACCCUGACGCAGCAACGCCGCGUGAGUGAGGAAGGUUUUCGGACUGUAAAGCUCUGUCGAGCGGGAAGAAGUGUACCAUGGCUAAUAUCCAUGAUAUUUGACGGUACCGCUAGGG